RNAcentral lists this small nucleolar RNA (104 nucleotides) under Capsicum annuum. RNAcentral's name for it is "Small nucleolar RNA Z107/R87". It matches the Rfam family "Small nucleolar RNA Z107/R87". From Rfam's summary of the family: Z107 and R87 are members of the C/D class of snoRNA which contain the C (UGAUGA) and D (CUGA) box motifs. Lineage: Eukaryota; Viridiplantae; Streptophyta; Magnoliopsida; Solanales; Solanaceae. The record is from Rfam by way of RNAcentral.
UGUCACGAUGAUGACUUCAUAAUAUUCAAGCUCAACAGACCGGAUUGCAGGCUCCUCUUUUAGAGUUUGCUUGCAUGUCGAUUACCUCGCUGAACUGAGUGACU